Long non-coding RNA from Chinchilla lanigera (long-tailed chinchilla), 571 nucleotides. RefSeq lists it as uncharacterized. The transcript is spliced from 3 exons. The record is from RefSeq and is a predicted model, not a curated record. Lineage: Eukaryota; Metazoa; Chordata; Mammalia; Rodentia; Chinchillidae.
GCCGGCUCCCGGAGGAAGUGGGGGCCAGACAGGCCCGGGCUGGGUCCGCUCGCCCUGGGGAGGGCUGGGGUUCACCACGGCCGCCCUGCGGGUUCUCGACAUUAACGCACGGGUUCUCGACAUUAACGCACGCGUGGUGGAGGGAUCCCUGGCUCCGUCUCCCUUAGAGAAACUGCACCACCGAACAGGUGCGUCAUGACCUAGAGCUCCCUCGUUAUUUUGUCAUUAGAGCCGUGCCGGUGAGAGUCAGAGGAACGGCAUUGGCAUGCAGGAAGGGAGCUGGGGUUGGAGGAGAGCCAAAGGGAGGACCCGUUGUAAACUGGCAGAAAAGACAAAGCCAGUGUGCGGUGGCACACCCAUCACCACAGCACUCAGGAGGCUGAGGCAGGAGGAUCGCUGCGAGCUUGAGGCCAGCCCGAACUCCACACUGAGACCCUGUCUCAAAAAAGAGUGGAGAAAAGUAGAUCAUGAACAGACUUAGAAAAGUGUCCUUGACUGGAGUGAGAAACCCUUGUCCACAUAAGCCGUGUGGCUGAGCGGGAAAGAGAGAGGAAGACUUGGGAGGCUGAGG